AUUGCCCUAGUAACGGCGAGUGAAGCGGCAACAGCUCAAAUUUGAAAUCUGGCCUUCUUUGGGGGUCCGAGUUGUAAUUUGCAGAGGGUGCUUUGGUGUUGACAGCGGUCUAAGUUCCUUGGAACAGGACGUCACAGAGGGUGAGAAUCCCGUACGUGGUCGCUUGCCUCCGCCGUGUAAAGCCCCUUCGACGAGUCGAGUUGUUUGGGAAUGCAGCUCUAAAUGGGAGGUAAAUUUCUUCUAAAGCUAAAUACUGGCCAGAGACCGAUAGCGCACAAGUAGAGUGAUCGAAAGAUGAAAAGCACUUUGGAAAGAGAGUCAAACAGCACGUGAAAUUGUUGAAAGGGAAGCGCUUGCAGCCAGACUUGCCCGUAGUUGCUCACCCGGACUUUUGCCCGGGGCACUCUUCUGCGGGCAGGCCAGCAUCAGUUUGGGCGACCGGAUAACGGCCUCUGUCAUGUAUCUUCCUUCGGGAUGACCUUAUAGGGGAGGCGUAAUGCGGCCAGCCCGGACUGAGGUCCGCGCUUCGGCUAGGAUGCUGGCGUAAUGGCUGUAAGCGGCCCGUCUUGAAACACGGACCAAGGAGUCUAACAUCUAUGCGAGUGUUUGGGUGUCAAGCCCGGGCGCGUAAUGAAAGUGAACGGAGGUGGGAACCCUUUCGGGGGUGCACCAUCGACCGAUCCUGAUGUCUUCGGAUGGAUUUGAGUAAGAGCAUAGCUGUUGGGACCCGAAAGAUGGUGAACUAUGCUUGAAUAGGGUGAAGCCAGAAGAAACUCUGGUGGAGGCUCGCAGCGGUUCUGACGUGCAAAUCGAUCGUCAAAUUUGGGCAUAGGGGCGAAAGACUAAUCGAACUAUCUAGUAGCUGGUUCCUGCCGAAGUUUCCCUCAGGAUAGCAGUAACGUAUUCAGUUUUAUGAGGUAAAGCGAAUGAUUAGAGGCCUGGGGGUUGAAACAACCUUCACCUAUUCUCAAACUUUAAAUAUGUAAGAAGUCCCUGUUACUUGAUUGAACGGGGACAUUUGAAUGCACCGUUACUAGUGGGCCAUUUUUGGUAAGCAGAACUGGCGAUGCGGGAUGAACCGAACGCGGGGUUAAGGUGCCAGAAUGCACGCUCAUCAGACACCACAAAAGGUGUUAGUUCAUCUAGACAGCAGGACGGUGGCCAUGGAAGUCGGAAUCCGCUAAGGAGUGUGUAACAACUCACCUGCCGAAUGAACUAGCCCUGAAAAUGGAUGGCGCUCAAGCGUGCUACCCAUACCCCGCCGCUGGGGCAGACAUUAUGCCCCAGCGAGUAGGCAGGCGUGGAGGUCCG
This 1311-nucleotide ribosomal RNA is filed under the name Setoseptoria arundinacea. Its description in RNAcentral is "eukaryotic LSU rRNA". It matches the Rfam family "Eukaryotic large subunit ribosomal RNA", at positions 74 to 1401 of the family's 3401-position model. Lineage: Eukaryota; Fungi; Ascomycota; Dothideomycetes; Pleosporales; Lentitheciaceae. The record is from RNAcentral.